UACAGGGGGGGCAAGCGUUGUUCGGAAUUACUGGGCGUAAAGGGUCCGUAGGCGGCCAACUAAGUCCGACGUGAAAUCCCAAGGCUUAACUUUGGAACUGCGUCGGAUACUGGAUGGCUUGAAUUCGGGAGAGGGAUGCAGAAUUCCAGGUGUAGCGGUGAAAUGCGUAGAUAUCUGGAGGAAUACCGGUGGCGAAGGCGGCAUCCUGGACCGACAUUGACGCUGAACGACGAAAGCUAGGGGAGCAAACGGG
Molecule: ribosomal RNA, 253 nt
Filed under: uncultured bacterium
Lineage: Bacteria
Description: partial 16S ribosomal RNA
Rfam family: Bacterial small subunit ribosomal RNA
Source: RNAcentral